ACUCCUACGGAAGGCAGCAGUGGGGAAUCUUGCGCAAUGGGCGAAAGCCUGACGCAGCAACGCCGCGUGGGGAUGAAGGCUCUCGGGUUGUAAACCCCUUUCAGCAGGGACGAAAUUGACGGUACCUGCAGAAGAAGCCCCGGCUAACUACGUGCCAGCAGCCGCGGUAAUG
RNAcentral lists this ribosomal RNA (172 nucleotides) under uncultured bacterium. Its description in RNAcentral is "partial 16S ribosomal RNA". It matches the Rfam family "Bacterial small subunit ribosomal RNA", at positions 335 to 525 of the family's 1533-position model. The record is from RNAcentral.